RNAcentral lists this ribosomal RNA (468 nucleotides) under uncultured bacterium. RNAcentral's name for it is "partial 16S ribosomal RNA". It matches the Rfam family "Bacterial small subunit ribosomal RNA", at positions 28 to 507 of the family's 1533-position model. The record is from RNAcentral.
GACGAACGCUGGCGGCGUGCUUAACACAUGCAAGUCGAACGGAAAGGCCCUGCUUUUGUGGGGUGCUCGAGUGGCGAACGGGUGAGUAACACGUGAGUAACCUGCCCUUGACUUUGGGAUAACUUCAGGAAACUGGGGCUAAUACCGGAUAGGAGCUCCUGCUGCAUGGUGGGGGUUAGAAAGUUUCGGCGGUUGGGGAUGGACUCGCGGCUUAUCAGCUUGUUGGUGGGGUAGUGGCUUACCAAGGCUUUGACGGGUAGCCGGCCUGAGAGGGUGACCGGCCACAUUGGGACUGAGAUACGGCCCAGACUCCUACGGGAGGCAGCAGUAAGGAAUAUUGCACAAUGGGCGGAAGCCUGAUGCAGCAACGCCGCGUGCGGGAUGACGGCCUUCGGGUUGUAAACCGCUUUCGCCUGUGACGAAGAGUGAGUGACGGUAAUGGGUAAAGAAGCACCGGCUAACUACGUG